This 380-nucleotide unclassified non-coding RNA is filed under the name soil metagenome. Its description in RNAcentral is "partial contains 5.8S ribosomal RNA, internal transcribed spacer 2, and large subunit ribosomal RNA". The stretch from base 1 to 120 matches the Rfam family "5.8S ribosomal RNA", at positions 35 to 154 of the family's 154-position model. The record is from RNAcentral.
GAUGAAGAACGCAGCGAAAUGCGAUAAGUAAUGUGAAUUGCAGAAUUCAGUGAAUCAUCGAAUCUUUGAACGCACCUUGCACCCUUUGGCAUUCUGAAGGGUAUGCUCGUUUGAGUGUCAUUGUACUCUCACACUCCCGAUCUUUGCAUUGGGAGCAGUGGACUUGGGUUUGCUGCUUCACCGUCGCUUACCUCAAAUAGGUUAGUGCAACUCUUGGUUGGACAUAGUACGGCGUGAUAAGUGUUCUUCGCCGGUGCCUCGCAAAGAGGGUGGCCGAUCGGGAUGUUAUGCUCCAAACCGUCUUCGGACAAUCUCUGACGACUUGACCUCAAAUCGAGUAAGACUACCCGCUGAACUUAAGCAUAUCAAUAAGCGGAGGA